GAUGAAGAACGCAGCGAAAUGCGAUAAGUAGUGUGAAUUGCAGAAUUCCGUGAAUCAUCGAAUCUUUGAACGCACAUUGCGCCUCCUGGUAAUCCGUGAGGCAUGCCUGUUCGAGCGUCACCAAAAUCAAAUCAACCACUCCGGUGAUUGGCCAUGGAGGAAGAGUCCGUCGUGUUGUGGUCUCCCCUCCCAAAAUAAAUGGCGGAAAGUUGCUGGCACUCGGUGUAGGAGUAUUAUUCGCCGAUUGUCCAGUGUCGUUCCUGCCGUCAAAUCCCCACAAUUAUCUUGAUUGACCUCGGAUCAGGUAGGGAUACCCGCUGAACUUAAGCAUAUCAAUAAGCGGAGGA
RNAcentral lists this unclassified non-coding RNA (347 nucleotides) under soil metagenome. RNAcentral's name for it is "partial contains 5.8S ribosomal RNA, internal transcribed spacer 2, and large subunit ribosomal RNA". The stretch from base 1 to 120 matches the Rfam family "5.8S ribosomal RNA", at positions 35 to 154 of the family's 154-position model. The record is from RNAcentral.